Delphinapterus leucas (beluga whale) is the source of this 350-nucleotide non-coding RNA. The record is from RefSeq and is a predicted model, not a curated record. Lineage: Eukaryota; Metazoa; Chordata; Mammalia; Artiodactyla; Monodontidae.
AGAAAACUCAGGAUUCAGAAAUACUUCUCUGCCUGCUUCUGCCUCGUUCUUUCAUCGAACAGCUGAUAAAUGACAUCAAAAUAGAUGCUGCAAUUUUUAAAAGAUAUUUUCUAAGAAGACCGACCUGUAAAUUAAACUUACCAUUCAACCAAUCAACAAACUUUUAUUGAGCACCUACUAUAUGCCAAACACUAUCACACUUUCUGGGAAUACGGCAUUGAGCAAGAGAAACUGAGGCUUAUGGAGACUAAGUAAAUCCAAAUCAUCUAACUGUAUGAACUGUGAUCUCUUUAUGCUACUAAUGAAAAGGAAGUUGGAAAGUAACAUGAUAGACCUUGAACGAAGUAAAA